CUUUCAGAUAGUCGAAUGACUUGGAAAAGUCAGUCAAAGAGGGUAAAAACCCCGUAGACGAAAUGUGGAAGACACCUAGGAGGAUCCUGAGUACGGCGGAACACGAGAAAUUCCGUCGGAAUCCGGGAGGACCAUCUCCCAAGGCUAAAUACUCCCUAGUGACCGAUAGUGAACCAGUACCGUGAGGGAAAGGUGAAAAGCACCCCGGAAGGGGAGUGAAAUAGAACCUGAAACCGUGUGCCUACAACAAGUCAAAGCCCGUUAAUGGGUGAUGGCGUGCCUUUUGUAGAAUGAACCGGCGAGUUACGAUUGCAUGCGAGGUUAAGUUGAAGAGACGGAGCCGCAGCGAAAGCGAGUCUGAAUAGGGCGUUUGAGUAUGUAGUCGUAGACCCGAAACCAUGUGAUCUACCCAUGUCCAGGUUGAAGGUGCGGUAAAACGCACUGGAGGACCGAACCCACGUACGUUGAAAAGUGCGGGGAUGAGGUGUGGGUAGCGGAGAAAUUCCAAACGAACUUGGAGAUAGCUGGUUCUCUCCGAAAUAGCUUUAGGGCUAGCCUCGGAAUUGAGAAUGAUGGAGGUAGAGCACUGUUUGGACUAGGGGCCCAUCUCGGGUUACCGAAUUCAGAUAAACUCCGAAUGCCAUUCAUUCAUAUCCGGGAGUCAGACUGUGAGUGAUAAGAUCCAUAGUCGAAAGGGAAACAGCCCAGACCACCAGCUAAGGUCCCAAAAUAUAUGUUAAGUGGAAAAGGAUGUGGGGUUGCACAGACAACUAGGAUGUUGGCUUAGAAGCAGCCACCAUUUAAAGAGUGCGUAAUAGCUCACUAGUCGAGUGACCCUGCGCCGAAAAUGUACCGGGGCUAAACAUAUUACCGAAGCUGUGGAGUACACCUUUAGGUGUAUUGGUAGGAGAGCGUUCUAAGGGCGUCGAAGGCAGAUCGUGAGGACUGCUGGAGCGCUUAGAAGUGAGAAUGCCGGUAUGAGUAGCGAAAGACAGGUGAGAAUCCUGUCCACCGAAUGACUAAGGUUUCCUGGGGAAGGCUCGUCCGCCCAGGGUUAGUCGGGACCUAAGCCGAGGCCGAUAGGCGUAGGCGAUGGAUAACAGGUUGAUAUUCCUGUACCCGUUGUUUUUGUUUGAGCAAUGGAGGGACGCAGG
RNAcentral lists this ribosomal RNA (1154 nucleotides) under Enterococcus faecium. RNAcentral describes it as "partial 23S ribosomal RNA". It matches the Rfam family "Bacterial large subunit ribosomal RNA", at positions 322 to 1478 of the family's 2925-position model. Lineage: Bacteria; Bacillati; Bacillota; Bacilli; Lactobacillales; Enterococcaceae. The record is from RNAcentral.